RNAcentral lists this small RNA (283 nucleotides) under Gorilla gorilla gorilla (western lowland gorilla). RNAcentral describes it as "Metazoan signal recognition particle RNA (ENSGGOG00000039952.1)". Lineage: Eukaryota; Metazoa; Chordata; Mammalia; Primates; Hominidae. The record is from RNAcentral.
GCUGGGUGUGGUGGCUCACACCUGUAAUCCCAGCACUUUGGAGGCCGAGGCAGGAGGCUCACUUGAGCUCAGGAGUUUGAGACCAGCCUGGGCAUCAUGGCAAGACCUCAUCUCUAUUAAAAAUAAAAAUAAAUUAGCCGGGUAUGGUGGUGCAUGCCUGUAGUCCCAGCUUCUUUGGAGGCUGAGGCAGGAGGAUCACUUAAGCCUCGGAAGUUGAGGCUGCCAUGAGCCAUGAUUGUGCCACUGUAUUUCAGCCUGGGCAACAGAGCAAGACCCUGUAUCA